ACCUUGGUGGCGCAAUCGGUAGCGCGUUAGACUCUUACAAAUGAAAAGGAGUUACUCCACUGAAAAAUUCGGUAUUUCGAGGAAUCUGAAUGUUGCGGGUUCGACCCCCGUCCAGGGUG
RNAcentral lists this transfer RNA (119 nucleotides) under Hanseniaspora osmophila. It matches the Rfam family "tRNA". Rfam says of the family: Transfer RNA (tRNA) molecules are approximately 80 nucleotides in length. Their secondary structure includes four short double-helical elements and three loops (D, anti-codon, and T loops). The record is from Rfam by way of RNAcentral. Lineage: Eukaryota; Fungi; Ascomycota; Saccharomycetes; Saccharomycodales; Saccharomycodaceae.